This is a long non-coding RNA of Herpailurus yagouaroundi (jaguarundi), 2839 nucleotides long. RefSeq lists it as uncharacterized. The transcript has 2 exons. NCBI's taxonomy places the organism in Eukaryota, Metazoa, Chordata, Mammalia, Carnivora, Felidae. The record is from RefSeq and is a predicted model, not a curated record.
GCAAAGUAUUACAUUGUAGGUUAUUUUGGAUAGUAUUAGGUUCUUGCUUCUAAUCAGGCUCCAGAGGCUGAGAAAGAGAGGGCAAGGAAGGCCAAAGAGAAAAGGGAUGUAAAUCUAAGAGGAAAGAGGGAGGCAUCUGGGGAGGUAAGGAGAAAAGCAGUGGGGCUCUUUAUGUAAGACAUUCAUGCACCGACUCACCAGUUAGUUGACAAAUACUACACCUCCAUAAAAAGGGGGUUUUGGCGGGUCAAAUUAUGGAUUUCUAAUAUGCUUAUAUGCACACUCUGAACUUCUCUUCACCUGACACAAAAGCAGAUGCUUAUAAAUUAUCCAAAGAGGUGAGAAGUGCUUUUAAUUAAGAGUUAAGUAAGAAAAGGCCACGUAGGAGAGUAUUAUUAUGCAAAUAUCCACAGUAAACACCUUUGGUGUGACCUCGCAGGAGGCAAAAUCACACAAGUAUACAAGCUCUCCUACGCUAAAAUUUUCAACCUGACUUGGGGCACAUUUUUCUUUUUCCUUGCUUUCCCGUUUCCAAACUCAUUAUACCCUGUUGUAUGUCUUGUUUUUUUGUUUUGUUUUGUUUUGUUUUUAAAUUCUAGGUCAGGUUCAGUUGUAAGACCAUACAAGGAAGAGAUCUCAAAAACUAAUAUUUUGGUAGGAGUCUCGAGAACUUAGUAGAGAAAAUGUAAGGCAAGUUUUCCCCUUUCCUUCUUUUCUCCCUUCACCCCCCCAAGCCCUCUAAAUGGCAAAGUAACACUACCAAGAGGGGCUUUCAGUUCUUCUAACAGGGACAAAGGACCCUGGUUGAAUAUCCCCCUUCUGCAGUGACUCCCCAGUUGGUGUGGUAUUCUUCCACAGAGGCCCUGCUGAGCUGUUAGGAAGUAAGAGGCAUUCGCACACGACUCACUAUCUUUCAGGGGCCAAUUAGCCAGUUUGGAAUAUCCAGACCCUGGGUUUCUUUCAUUUCUCUUUCAGCAGCUUGCCUUUUGGUCAUUUGCCAUGCUUCAUUAAAAGGGGCAAAGCUCAGAUCUGUCCAUUUGGCUCACCCUUAGGAGCUCUGAAGGGAGCCUUCUUGGGGAAGGCAAUUGAAGCCAUUGAAGUGAAGAUGUGGGGAUUAUCCAUGGAUUAGGAUUAUCUAAACCAGUGGUUUCCAACCCUUUUAACUAGGAAAAGCCCUUUUACAGGUAAAAAACAAAACAAAACAAAACAAAACCCAAACCAAACAAAACAACAAACCUUGUGCAUACUUACAGGACAGUAAUUAUACUAUCUACUGAGUAAGGCAAGCAUUUGCUCAUAGGAAGGAAAGGCUUGUUCAUCUUGUCUUCUCGGUCUUCAAACACAUUCUGUACCCCUUCCAACCCCUCUUGGAAAAACAUCUUUCCUAGGGCAUCAAUACUCUGAAUUCUUUGUGAUUCAGACUCAAGUAAAGUAAGGAAGGUUUACAGAGGAAGCCUGGUACCUAUCAUCUGCUGGAAACUAACACACAAAUAGAUUGUUGAGAUGUUUCGGAAUAAUGACCAGUAAACACCAAGGGAAAAGAAAAAAAAAAAACCUUCUUUCCAUUUCAUUAUAGAAGUUUUUUGUGAAGACUUAAAUUUGAAGAUGGUUAAUGAUUUUCUUGUUUGGUGAUUAUUCAAGAUGUAUGUGAAUCAGAAGGAAUUGAAAUCAAUUCCUUCAGGGGUGCUGAAGAUUAUAGACAAUAUAACCCUAACACCUUUUUAGCAAUGUUUUUGCCUAUUUAGUGAAUGGGACUUGGUGUCAGAAUUUCUGAGGACAAGUAGAGGGCAUGCUGACAUCAGGAACAAUUACAAAAACUUGUACAGCACCAACAGAGCAAACUUUUCUCCUGUGUUAUGAUAUAUAUUUGCCGUAUGUCUUUGUUUUAAAAAUUGUUCUCAGUAUUCCAGCUCCACCUUCUCUCAACGGAUACUCUGUCUUCAUCAUCAAGGAGAUGGAGGUAACCAGGUAUGAACCACUCCAAAUUAUUAGCAACAUCCACCUUCUUGGAGCCAAAAAUGCUGCUCUUGUAUUCUUCUUAGACUUCCUCAUUCUUCUCGUAUUUGCUGAUGACUCCCAAAUUGGUAUCUCCUGCCCUGCCUUCUCUCCCCAGUUUAGACUGGGACAUACACCUGGUGACCACUGGCCAUGAGCACCUGGAUAGCCACAGGGACCUGGUCCUCACCAUUUCCUCCCUAACUUAUUUAUCCUGUUCAAUUCCUCAUCUCAGUGGAACCAGCCUGCCUCCAAGCAUCCAGGGUAAAAAUCUGGUGGUAAACCGAGGCUUCUCUCUUUCCUACACUCCCACACCCAAUUAACCCCCCAGUAUUCAUUAUUUUACUUUCUAAAUACUUCUGAAAUCCAUCGCCUACUAUUUAGCUCGGCUAUACCUCAUUCAGGCUUUCAUAAUCUUUACUCUAGAGGUUUACACUGACUCUUAAUGACUCUUCAUUGCCUGAAAAUAAGGACCCUGCCUGUGAGUGUGGCAUUCAAGACUUCUCAUGACCUUCCACUUCCGCUUUCACCCGCCCUCUCCACAUUCCACUUUACCAAACUGUACACACCAAGAGGCUGCUUUUAUUCCUUCUCCUUGAAAUCUCCUCCCUGCCUCCAUCUGAUUGACACUAAUCCAUCUUGCCUGAACCCAUGACCAAGCUAAGUGCCACUCCUCUGUGAUCCUAUUAUACCUUGUACGUACCUAUUCUUUUCAUCACCUACGCGUUAUAUUAUAUUGUAAUUACCUGUUAAUUCAUAUUUUGCCCUCUCCUUGACCUCCAGUCAAGAAGGAAGAUGGUUGCCCAUACUGUGUCAAAAAUUUUUAUUUAUUUAUUUAUUUAUU